CCCCUGCGGUGAUCGAUGUCGGGCUAAAGUUUCUUGAGCCGACAACUACUCGCCUCGGGGGCAUUAGCGUGACGGCACUGGUGUGCAGGUCCGCCUUCGAGCGGAAAGCCUAAAGGGUCGCCCGUCGCCCCCACCUGAACCUCACGGUUCAAGGGCGGUGCCCGUACGACGCCAAUGCGGGGG
RNAcentral lists this non-coding RNA (183 nucleotides) under marine eukaryotic metagenome. RNAcentral's name for it is "6S / SsrS RNA". It matches the Rfam family "6S / SsrS RNA". From Rfam's summary of the family: E. coli 6S RNA was the first non coding RNA to be sequenced, but its function was unknown until recently. It consists of 184 nucleotides that fold into an extended hairpin structure with a large single-stranded internal bulge. The 6S RNA specifically associates with RNA polymerase holoenzyme containing the sigma70 specificity factor. The record is from RNAcentral.